AUUUUAUUAAUAUAAUAAAGUAUAUUUGAUUUCCAAUCAAAAAGUUUAAAUACUAAAUAAAAUA
This 64-nucleotide transfer RNA is filed under the name Kaburagia rhusicola ensigallis. RNAcentral describes it as "tRNA-Gly". RNAcentral also lists the same sequence under 3 other names. Lineage: Eukaryota; Metazoa; Arthropoda; Insecta; Hemiptera; Aphididae. The record is from RNAcentral.